CUGCUGCUGCCCUUUGCUCUUGUGAUAAUCUUAAAUUACUACAAUUUAAUUGCAACUUCAAGGCACUGAGCUGAAAUAUUUUUACACAGCUGAGCCAGGGCUGAAGAGGCUCGGUGGGGUUUUUGCAGGUAGCUGGGUGUCUUUUGGAGGUGCAACAUUUGUUCAGGCCUCUCCUGCACAUCCAGCAUGGUGUGUGCAGGGUCAGGGCACCUGGAGGGAGCUUUCCUGGGGGUUCCCACUGCGGGGGGAGCGGGAUCAGGCCCUGCAGGGCUCGGGUGCACCAGGGUUUUGUUUGCUGUCCGUAUUUAAGCUGAAUUAAAUAGCGCAUUUUAAUCACUCCUCAGAUGAGCCUUGCUGUCAGGUUGCUUCCCAGAGCUUUGCCCUGCGAGCCUCUGCUGGGGAAGCAGGUGAGAAGGGGCUGUGGCUGGAGGGGAAGCCCAGGGGUGGUCAGCAGCGUGGGGACACGGUGGCACCCUGCUCUGAACGUGGCCAUGGGCAUGGCAUGGUCCCCGUGUCCCCAGGGGUGAGCUCAGGGUGCAGCUCGCUGCUCUGGGCCCAAUCCAGUGUGUGCUGGCAUCAACUGGGGCUUCUGCUGAUGUUGCUGCCUUUGGCUUUUGGUCUGUGUCACUAACUCAUACCACUGAAACUUUUUCUCCCCCUCCCUCCGUGUAUAGUAGCGUGUUUUCACACCCGGCGGGCGCUUCAGCAGAGGUGUGCUAUGCAAGAAAGCCAGAAAGCAUUUGCUGGGUGGAAUUUAGAGAAACUGUGCAUUAGAGAUCAGCAGUGUCUUUGAGACCAUUCUUAGAGGUCCUGGCAAGCAAAACUUUAUUGAAGUGCUUCGAAAGGUAUGGCCAGGCUGGGAGCCCUUAACGUCGUGCCACCGAGGACGUGCGUCAGCGCCGGCCGUGCUGAGGCACAGCGGUGUUCAAAUCGUGAGUCUGAUUGUUUUUCUGUUGGCCAGAUCCUUGUGAAAUGCCUUGUUGCAAGAAGAAGCAGAGAAGAUCUUGUGCUUGCUAGAAGUGGUUGGUUUUGUGCUGACAGAAGCGCUGCUCGCAGCCUGCUCACUGCGCGGUUCGAUUCCCGCAGCUCGCUGUGCUGGGAAUUGCAGCUCCUGCAGUCUCCUGAGAACAUUUUUUCUGAGUGACUCCGGCUUCCAGACACAUUUGCCAUGAGAAGGGUUCCAAUCCUUUCCUGUAUUUGCCCUGAGUCAUGAAUGGAUAUGUGUGAUGCCUGCAAGUAAAACUGGUGAGUUGUCAAGCCUGAGUUUGCAAUAACUCUCACUUACUCUUUCAUGCAAAUUAUCUUUCCCUCAUUUUUUUUCCCUCUCCUUUUUAAUGUGGUGGUGGGGGGGUUGUAUUGUCUUUGUUUUAAAGCAAAUCACCACUGUUCUUAAAAAACCCAAAGCAACCAUCAUUGUCAUGAAAUAGCAGA
This 1431-nucleotide long non-coding RNA is filed under the name Catharus ustulatus (Swainson's thrush). Its description in RNAcentral is "lncRNA (ENSCUSG00005006274.1)". The record is from RNAcentral. Lineage: Eukaryota; Metazoa; Chordata; Aves; Passeriformes; Turdidae.